AGCAGUCGCCGCGGGAAUACGUAGGGUGCGAGCGUUAAUCGGAAUUACUGGGCGUAAAGCGAGCGCAGACGGUUAUUUAAGCAGGAUGUGAAAUCCCCGGGCUUAACCUGGGAACUGCGUUCUGAACUGGAUAGCUAGAGUGUGUCAGAGGGGGGUAGAAUUCCACGUGUAGCAGUGAAAUGCGUAGAGACGUGGAGGAAUACCGAUGGCGAAGGCAGCCCCCUGGGAUAACACUGACGUUCAUGCUCGAAAGCGUGGGUAGCAAACAGGAUUAGAGACCCCUGUAGUCCCUGUCUCUUAUAA
This 303-nucleotide ribosomal RNA is filed under the name uncultured bacterium. RNAcentral describes it as "partial 16S ribosomal RNA". It matches the Rfam family "Bacterial small subunit ribosomal RNA", at positions 507 to 809 of the family's 1533-position model. The record is from RNAcentral.